AGCAGCCGCGGUAAUUCCAGCUCCAACAGCGUAUAUUAAAGUUGUUGCAGUUAAAAAGCUCGUAGUUGAAUUGAGGGAUUGACGUGACGGUCGUGCCUUACGGGGUAUGAAUGAACUGUUGCUGUUGAUUUUUCUCACCUUCUGGAGAAACUUGAUGUCCUUAAUUGGGUGUCUUGCGGAUCCAGGACCUUUACCUUGAAAAAAUUAGAGUGUUUAAAGCAGGCAUUUUGCUCGAAUACAUUAGCAUGGAAUAAUAGAAUAGGACGGCAUGGUUCUAUUUUGUUGGUUUCUAGGAUCACCGUAAUGAUUAAUAGGGAUAGUUGGGGGCAUUAGUAUUCAAUUGUCAGAGGUGAAAUACUUGGAUUUGUUGAAGACUAAUUACUGCGAAAGCAUUUGCCAAGGAUGUUUUCAUUAAUCAAGAACGAAAGUUAGGGGAUCGAAGACGAUCAGAUACCGUCGUAGUCUUAACCAAUAAACUAUGUCGACUAGGAAUCAGACGAUGUUAAUUUUUAAUGAUUUC
RNAcentral lists this unclassified non-coding RNA (520 nucleotides) under uncultured Entrophospora. RNAcentral describes it as "SSU rRNA". It matches the Rfam family "Eukaryotic small subunit ribosomal RNA", at positions 569 to 1078 of the family's 1831-position model. The record is from RNAcentral. Lineage: Eukaryota; Fungi; Glomeromycota; Glomeromycetes; Entrophosporales; Entrophosporaceae.